Triticum aestivum (bread wheat) is the source of this 135-nucleotide non-coding RNA. The record is from Rfam. NCBI's taxonomy places the organism in Eukaryota, Viridiplantae, Streptophyta, Magnoliopsida, Poales, Poaceae.
UUUAUACUCCCUCCACCCUGAAUUAGUUGUCUUAGAUUUGUCUAGAUACGGGCGUAUCUAGACACGUUUUAGUGUUAGAUACAUCCAUAUCUAGACAAAUCUAAGACAACUAAUUUGGGAUGGAGGUAAUAGUUU